AAGUGGGAACUAAAACACUCGUCAGCGGUGAUGUGGAGGGCUCCGCGUUAUUUUGCAAACAGGUGACAAUAGGUCAACCUCAAAGACACGAUCUUGUAUAACAGAUGAAGUCAUGAGUACAUACACAAGAAGAAGACUCAGUCCUCAAAGGCAGCACAACAUAAGAGGUCCAAGACAAAGCAACGAUACUCAAGCACAACAUGGUGUUGCACCUAUGAGGAGAGUAGAUAGAGUAGACUGCCCAUUUCCAAACAAGCCCGUUAUCCACAGAAGAAUCUUCAACCACAGGGCACAAUACUCACCUGAUCUUUAUGAUCUUGAAAAAAUGACCAUUACAAAACAACCAAGAGGCUAUUUUUUGCCCCAGGGACCUCAUUUAGAUGGGACCAGAGAGACCGCAGGAUCCCAGCAUCGAAGGAAAGACCUACAUAGACUGUGCAGUGGAGAACUGCAGAUCGUCCAAGCAAUUCACGCAAAAGAACUGAAGCUGCAGGAGAAGCUGUGCAGGGUUGAGGACAAAAUAAGACAAAAGAUCAGGAGGGAUACUGUUGAGGCUGCUGCAGGUAAUGAUGAGAUGAAGAGGGAGGAGAGGGGAGGCAGGGGACAACCAGAGAGGGGAGAAGCUAGGACUAAACCUGGGCCGUCUGAGCUGCACAGGAGAGAAGCAGUGAGAAGCAGAGAACUGUUGAUUCAAGAAAUAAGGCAAGAGGAUGUCAAACAACUUGGGAAGAGGCUAAAUCAGUGGGAUGAGGACAGAAUGAGGGAUACGCAUGAAGAAGACGAGGCCAGGUGGAAUAGAAGUGAGAGAGAAUAUGCAGGGCUUCCCCAGUCCAAAGGAAAUUUGAUUAAAGGAACUCAUAAAAUCACUGUCGGCAAGCAAAGAGUGAGUGGAGAGCUGAACACGUCAAGAUGGGAGAACGUCAAAGAGCAUGCCAGACGAAAAGGGUAUGAAAGGGAUCAUCGCGUUUGGGGAGAAGCAGCUUUGAGGCCACAGGAUGGAAUAGAGAAAGGAAAAGAAAGAGAACAAUAUAAGACAUCAAUAGACGUGACAAAAGAAAAGAAACAUAUGGAAAGAACAUGCAAGGACAUGUACGAUGCACAAGACAUCCCACAAAUAAGUCAACACAAAACUACUGACAGACUUGCAACAGAAAACCACGGAGGUGCGGAACGUAAAACACAGAGGGAAUCGUCUCUCCCACCAAUUUCUAGUCCUUCUCACUCCGGCGGAGUCCAGAAGGAGCAGCUGGGGCUCGAGGACAUCGCAGACGCCAGCCUCCAGCUCCUCCCGUGCAGAAUCUGCAACAGGAGAUUUGCAAGUGAAAGGCUGGAGAAGCACAUGCAAGUCUGUCAAAAACUUGAGCAAAAACAGCGUCAAGUCUUCAACUCUUAUGCAAAUAGGACCAAAGGAUCUGCCAUGGAGGAGUUCCUGAAAACCCACAGCAGGAGCAAGACUCCAGAGGUUUUCCAGAAAAAGAAACAAAGGCAAACCGACGAGGCAAAAACAAAGCGCGUGCAGCAGAGUCGACCCCCAGCUGGAACCUCGCUGCCGAAAUGGUCCAAGGGAUCGGCCUACAUCGAUAAAAGAAAUUGA
Long non-coding RNA from Scophthalmus maximus (turbot), 1594 nucleotides. NCBI's taxonomy places the organism in Eukaryota, Metazoa, Chordata, Actinopteri, Pleuronectiformes, Scophthalmidae. The record is from Ensembl.